UACGUAGGGGGCAAGCGUUGUCCGGAAUUAUUGGGCGUAAAGAGCGUGUAGGCGGCUCGAUAAGUCUGCUGUGAAAGUCCAGAGCUCAACCCUGGAAGGCCGGUGGAAACUGUCGGGCUAGAGUCCGGAAGAGGCGAGUGGAAUUCCCGGUGUAGCGGUGAAAUGCGCAGAUAUCGGGAGGAACACCAAUGGCGAAGGCAGCUCGCUGGAACGGUACUGACGCUGAGACGCGAAAGCGUGGGGAGCAAACAGG
RNAcentral lists this ribosomal RNA (253 nucleotides) under uncultured bacterium. Its description in RNAcentral is "partial 16S ribosomal RNA". It matches the Rfam family "Bacterial small subunit ribosomal RNA", at positions 524 to 776 of the family's 1533-position model. The record is from RNAcentral.